RNAcentral lists this ribosomal RNA (438 nucleotides) under Pseudomonas sp. R9.1b. Its description in RNAcentral is "bacterial SSU rRNA". It matches the Rfam family "Bacterial small subunit ribosomal RNA", at positions 82 to 516 of the family's 1533-position model. Lineage: Bacteria; Pseudomonadati; Pseudomonadota; Gammaproteobacteria; Pseudomonadales; Pseudomonadaceae. The record is from RNAcentral.
GCUCUCUGAUUCAGCGGCGGACGGGUGAGUAAUGCCUAGGAAUCUGCCUGGUAGUGGGGGACAACGUCUCGAAAGGGACGCUAAUACCGCAUACGUCCUACGGGAGAAAGCAGGGGACCUUCGGGCCUUGCGCUAUCAGAUGAGCCUAGGUCGGAUUAGCUAGUUGGUGAGGUAAUGGCUCACCAAGGCGACGAUCCGUAACUGGUCUGAGAGGAUGAUCAGUCACACUGGAACUGAGACACGGUCCAGACUCCUACGGGAGGCAGCAGUGGGGAAUAUUGGACAAUGGGCGAAAGCCUGAUCCAGCCAUGCCGCGUGUGUGAAGAAGGUCUUCGGAUUGUAAAGCACUUUAAGUUGGGAGGAAGGGCAGUAAGCGAAUACCUUGCUGUUUUGACGUUACCGACAGAAUAAGCACCGGCUAACUCUGUGCCAGCAGCC